This 21-nucleotide microRNA is filed under the name Callorhinchus milii (elephant shark). Its description in RNAcentral is "eshark_NOVEL_140". The record is from RNAcentral. Lineage: Eukaryota; Metazoa; Chordata; Chondrichthyes; Chimaeriformes; Callorhinchidae.
UGUCUUAGCCCGUCACUGCAU